Molecule: ribosomal RNA, 370 nt
Filed under: uncultured cyanobacterium
Lineage: Bacteria; Bacillati; Cyanobacteriota
Description: bacterial SSU rRNA
Rfam family: Bacterial small subunit ribosomal RNA
Source: RNAcentral
AAUUUUCCGCAAUGGGCGAAAGCCUGACGGAGCAAUACCGCGUGCGGGAGGAAGGCCUUUGGGUCGUAAACCGCUUUUAACAGGGAAGAAGAUCUGACGGUACCUGUUGAAUAAGCCUCGGCUAACUCCGUGCCAGCAGCCGCGGUAAGACGGAGGAGGCAAGCGUUAUCCGGAAUUAUUGGGCGUAAAGCGUCCGCAGGUGGCCUUUCAAGUCUGCUGUUAAAGCCCAGGGCUCAACUCUGGAUCAGCAGUGGAAACUGAAAAGCUAGAGUACGGUAGGGGUAGAGGGAAUUCCCAGUGUAGCGGUGAAAUGCGUAGAUACUGGGAAGAACACCAGUGGCGAAGGCGCUCUGCUGGGCCGUAACUGACA